CUGGUUGAUCCUGCCAGUAGUCAUAUGCUCGUCUCAAAGAUUAAGCCAUGCAUGUCUAAGUAUAAGCUUUGUACGGUGAAACUGCGAAUGGCUCAUUAAAACAGUUAUCGUUUCCUUGGCAAUCAUCUACUAUUGGAUAACUACGGUAAUUCUAGAGCUAAUACAUAUGCACAGACCCAACUUCGCGGGCGGGUUGCGCUUAUUAGAUACCGAACCAGCCUGGGCUUGCCCAGUUUUGAGUUGACUCAUAAUAUCGAGUGGAUCGCAUGACGAUGUCGGCGACUUGCCAUCCAAGUUUCUGACCUAUCAGCUUCCGACGGUAGGGGUAUUGGCCUACCGUUGCUUUGACGGGUAACGGAGAAUUAGGGUUUGAUUCCGGAGAGGGAGCCUGAGAAACAGCUACCACAUCUAAGGAAGGCAGCAGGCGCGCAAAAUUACCCAAUCCUGACAUAGGGAGGUAGUGAACAGAAAUACCAAUACGAGGCUUCAUGUCUAGUAAUUGGAAUGAGUUAAGAUGUACAACGCUUUACGAGGAUCAAUUGGAGGGCAAGUCUU
Molecule: ribosomal RNA, 555 nt
Filed under: uncultured eukaryote
Lineage: Eukaryota
Description: SSU rRNA
Rfam family: Eukaryotic small subunit ribosomal RNA
Source: RNAcentral